RNAcentral lists this ribosomal RNA (660 nucleotides) under Vibrio sp. SoSrf8. Its description in RNAcentral is "bacterial SSU rRNA". It matches the Rfam family "Bacterial small subunit ribosomal RNA", at positions 54 to 689 of the family's 1533-position model. Lineage: Bacteria; Pseudomonadati; Pseudomonadota; Gammaproteobacteria; Vibrionales; Vibrionaceae. The record is from RNAcentral.
CAUGCAAGUCGAGCGGAAACGACCUAACAAUCCUUCGGGUGCGUUAAUGGGCGUCGAGCGGCGGACGGGUGAGUAAUGCCUAGGAAAUUGCCUUGAUGUGGGGGAUAACCAUUGGAAACGAUGGCUAAUACCGCAUGAUGCCUACGGGCCAAAGAGGGGGACCUUCGGGCCUCUCGCGUCAAGAUAUGCCUAGGUGGGAUUAGCUAGUUGGUGAGGUAAUGGCUCACCAAGGCGACGAUCCCUAGCUGGUCUGAGAGGAUGAUCAGCCACACUGGAACUGAGACACGGUCCAGACUCCUACGGGAGGCAGCAGUGGGGAAUAUUGCACAAUGGGCGAAAGCCUGAUGCAGCCAUGCCGCGUGUAUGAAGAAGGCCUUCGGGUUGUAAAGUACUUUCAGUUGUGAGGAAGGGUGUGUAGUUAAUAGCUGCGCAUCUUGACGUUAGCAACAGAAGAAGCACCGGCUAACUCCGUGCCAGCAGCCGCGGUAAUACGGAGGGUGCGAGCGUUAAUCGGAAUUACUGGGCGUAAAGCGCAUGCAGGUGGUUCAUUAAGUCAGAUGUGAAAGCCCGGGGCUUCAACCUCGGAACUGCAUUUGAAACUGGUGGAACUAGAGUACUUGUAGAGGGGGGGUAGAAUUUCAGGUGUAGCCGGUGAAAUGC